CUUGGUGGUUAUAGCGAGGGUGUCCCACCCGAUUCCAUUCCGAACUCGGACGUGAAACCCCUUAGCGCCGAUGGUACUGCACCUUAAGGUGUGGGAGAGUAGGUCGCCGCCAGGU
This 115-nucleotide ribosomal RNA is filed under the name Bacteroidota Order II. bacterium. The record is from RNAcentral. Lineage: Bacteria; Pseudomonadati; Bacteroidota; unclassified Bacteroidota Order II.